GCAUAUCAAUAAGCGGAGGAAAAGAAACCAACAGGGAUUGCCCUAGUAACGGCGAGUGAAGCGGCAACAGCUCAAAUUUGAAAUCUGGCCCUCGUGGUCCGAGUUGUAAUUUGUAGAGGAUGCUUUUGGUGCGGUGCCUUCCGAGUUCCCUGGAACGGGACGCCAUAGAGGGUGAGAGCCCCGUCUGGUUGGACACCAAUCCUCUGUAAAGCUCCUUCGACGAGUCGAGUAGUUUGGGAAUGCUGCUCUAAAUGGGAGGUAAAUGUCUUCUAAAGCUAAAUACCGGCCAGAGACCGAUAGCGCACAAGUAGAGUGAUCGAAAGAUGAAAAGCACUUUGAAAAGAGGGUUAAAUAGUACGUGAAAUUGUUGAAAGGGAAGCGUUUGUGACCAGACUUGGGCUUGGUUAAUCAUCCAGCGUUCUCGCUGGUGCACUUUGCCAGCCCAGGCCAGCAUCAGUUCGCUGCGGGGGAUAAAAGCUUCGGGAACGUGGCUCUUCGGAGUGUUAUAGCCCGCUGCAUAAUACCCUGUGGCGGACUGAGGUUCGCGCAUCUGCAAGGAUGCUGGCGUAAUGGUCAUCAACGACCCGUCUUGAAACACGGACCAAGGAGUCGUCUUCGUAUGCGAGUGUUCGGGUGUCAAACCCCUACGCGUAAUGAAAGUGAACGGAGGUGGGAGCCUCGGCGCACCAUCGACCGAUCCUGAAGUUUACGGAUGGAUUUGAGUAAGAGCAUACGGGGCCGGACCCGAAAGAAGGUGAACUAUGCCUGUAUAGGGUGAAGCCAGAGGAAACUCUGGUGGAGGCUCGCAGCGGUUCUGACGUGCAAAUCGAUCGUCAAAUAUGGGCAUGGGGGGCGAAAGACUAAUCGAACCUUCUAGUAGCUGGGUUUCCGCCGAA
RNAcentral lists this ribosomal RNA (896 nucleotides) under Thyronectria cucurbitula. Its description in RNAcentral is "LSU rRNA". It matches the Rfam family "Eukaryotic large subunit ribosomal RNA", at positions 38 to 965 of the family's 3401-position model. Lineage: Eukaryota; Fungi; Ascomycota; Sordariomycetes; Hypocreales; Nectriaceae. The record is from RNAcentral.